Molecule: ribosomal RNA, 261 nt
Filed under: uncultured soil bacterium
Lineage: Bacteria
Description: partial 16S ribosomal RNA
Rfam family: Bacterial small subunit ribosomal RNA
Source: RNAcentral
AGGACGAACGCUGGCGGCGUGCUUAACACAUGCAAGUCGUGGGGGGGUCGGGGGCAACUUCGACCUCACCGGCGAACGGGUGCGUAACACGUGAGCAACCUACCGAUUUGUGGGGGAUAGCCGGCCCAACGGCCGGGUAAUACCGCAUACGCUCAGUGAGAGGAGUCUCUUGCUGAGGAAACCUCCGGGGCAAAUCGUGGGGCUCGCGGCCUAUCAGCUAGUUGGUGCGGGUAAUGGCCCACCAAGGCAAUGACGGGUAGC